This 306-nucleotide ribosomal RNA is filed under the name Triticum aestivum (bread wheat). RNAcentral describes it as "partial small subunit ribosomal RNA". The record is from RNAcentral. Lineage: Eukaryota; Viridiplantae; Streptophyta; Magnoliopsida; Poales; Poaceae.
AUGGCAUAUCCACAAAGAGGUCCGUGUGAGAACCGAGUUGUGAAGGAGGAGCGACAACCUCCGGUCCCACUCGUCAGACAUAUCCACAACCUCCAGCUCCGCCUCGGCCGCGGCAGCGACCGGCGCGCCGCUAUCGCCGCCAUCACCCUCCGCUCCGUCCUCCCUCUCCCUCGCAUGGUCUGGCCGCCUCUACGCACGCAAUCGAGCACGGCGAUUUGCCGUGCCCGGAGACCGCAAAAGCAGAGGAUGAGGACAAUCCUCUUGAGGCGAGCUUGGAAUGGAGUCCCCUCCCACGCCGCCGAUUGA